Immersiella caudata is the source of this 83-nucleotide non-coding RNA. Lineage: Eukaryota; Fungi; Ascomycota; Sordariomycetes; Sordariales; Lasiosphaeriaceae. The record is from the annotation of a GenBank genome assembly.
UCGGGUAUGGUGUAGUGGCUAUCAUGGCUGGCUCCCAAGAUUUGAGUACUCAGCAGCCCGGGGUUCGAUUCCCCGUUACCGAG